ACACAGCACUCGGGAGAGACCCAGGGACGUUUGCCUGGGCGCCGAAGGGGCAAUUCCUCCCCGGAACCUCUCAGGCCCAUGGACCGGGUGCCGCAG
RNAcentral lists this non-coding RNA (96 nucleotides) under Kribbella flavida. RNAcentral describes it as "Glycine sequence". It matches the Rfam family "Glycine riboswitch aptamer". From Rfam's summary of the family: This family represents the bacterial glycine riboswitch. Glycine riboswitches usually consist of two metabolite-binding aptamers domains with similar structures in tandem. The record is from RNAcentral. RNAcentral also lists the same sequence under 1 other name. Lineage: Bacteria; Bacillati; Actinomycetota; Actinomycetes; Propionibacteriales; Kribbellaceae.